GAUGAACGCUGGCGGCGUGCCUAAUACAUGCAAGUCGAGCGAACGGACGAGAAGCUUGCUUCUCUGAUGUUAGCGGCGGACGGGUGAGUAACACGUGGAUAACCUACCUAUAAGACUGGGAUAACUUCGGGAAACCGGAGCUAAUACCGGAUAAUAUUUUGAACCGCAUGGUUCAAAAGUAAAAGACGGUCUUGCUGUCACUUAUAGAUGGAUCCGCGCUGCAUUAGCUAGUUGGUAAGGUAACGGCUUACCAAGGCAACGAUGCAUAGCCGACCUGAGAGGGUGAUCGGCCACACUGGAACUGAGACACGGUCCAGACUCCUACGGGAGGCAGCAGUAGGGAAUCUUCCGCAAUGGGCGAAAGCCUGACGGAGCAACGCCGCGUGAGUGAUGAAGGUCUUCGGGUCGUAAAACUCUGUUAUUAGGGAAGAACAUAUGUGUAAGUAACUGUGCACAUCUUGACGGUACCUAAUCAGAAAGCCACGGCUAACUACGUG
RNAcentral lists this ribosomal RNA (497 nucleotides) under uncultured bacterium. RNAcentral's name for it is "partial 16S ribosomal RNA". It matches the Rfam family "Bacterial small subunit ribosomal RNA", at positions 28 to 507 of the family's 1533-position model. The record is from RNAcentral.